CAGCAGCCGCGGUAAUACGAAGGGACCUAGCGUAGUUCGGAAUUACUGGGCUUAAAGAGUUCGUAGGUGGUUAAAAAAGUUGGUGGUGAAAUCCCAGAGCUUAACUCUGGAACUGCCAUCAAAACUUUUUAGCUAGAGUAUGAUAGAGGAAAGUAGAAUUUCUAGUGUAGAGGUGAAAUUCGUAGAUAUUAGAAAGAAUACCAAUUGCGAAGGCAGCUUUCUGGAUCAUUACUGACACUGAGGAACGAAAGCAUGGGUAGCGAAGAGGAUUAGAUACCCUCGUAGUCCAUGCCGUAAACGAUGUGUGUUAGACGUUGGAAAUUUAUUUUCAGUGUCGCAGCGAAAGCAAUAAACACACCGCCUGGGGAGUACGACCGCAAGGUUAAAACUCAAAUGAAUUGACGGGGACCCGCACAAGUAGUGGAGCAUGUGGUUUAAUUCGAAGAUACGCGCAGAACCUUACCAACACUUGACAUGUUCGUCGCGACUCUAAGAGAUUAGAGUUUUCGGUUCGGCCGGACGAAACACAGGUGCUGCAUGGCUGUCGUCAGCUCGUGUCGUGAGAUGUUGGGUUAAGUCCCGCAACGAGCGCAACCCUUACUUUUAGUUGCCAUCAUUUAGUUGGGCACUCUGAAAGAACUGCCAGUGAUAAGCUGGAGGAAGGUGGGGAUGACGUCAAGUCCUCAUGGCCCUUACGUGUUGGGCUACACACGUGCUACAAUGGCAUUUACAAUAGGAAGCAAGGCGGCGACGUCAAGCAAAUCCUAAAAGAAUGCCUCAGUUCGGAUUGCACUCUGCAACUCGAGUGCAUGAAGCUGGAAUUACUAGUAAUCGUGGAUCAGCGUGCCACGGUGAAUGCGUUCCCGGGUCUUGCACACACCGCCCG
RNAcentral lists this ribosomal RNA (886 nucleotides) under uncultured bacterium. RNAcentral's name for it is "bacterial SSU rRNA". It matches the Rfam family "Bacterial small subunit ribosomal RNA", at positions 509 to 1396 of the family's 1533-position model. The record is from RNAcentral.